UUGCAGAUUGAGUCUUCUCCCCUUCCAUCCUGCCAAUACCAGGUGGAGGUGGCUGAGAAGACUGUUGGAUGAGUGGAGGCGGAGGAAGUGAAGGGUGAGUUGUGACCUGUUCUUUAGGUGGGGGACCAGGAGGUGGAGGUGGCAAAGGUGGUGGAGGCAAUGCACCCAAGUCUGCCAUAGCAGGCUUUGGCGGCAUUGGAGGUGGAGGAGGUAGAGGCAAGGAAGCAGGCAUAACAGAGCUAUCUCCAGGUUCCAGAUGACCAGUAUCUGGCAAUGGGGGAGGUGGUGGAGGUGGAGGGGGUACAACUAAAUCAGCAUCCUCUGAAUCUGUCAUUGAGGAUGAAGCAGCACCACUCGAUGAAGCUGCUGAUAAGGGAAUCCUGGGUCCUGCAGUCCAAAGCCAAAAACUC
RNAcentral lists this long non-coding RNA (410 nucleotides) under Vitis vinifera (wine grape). Its description in RNAcentral is "long non-coding RNA (VVIN_LNC005692)". The record is from RNAcentral. Lineage: Eukaryota; Viridiplantae; Streptophyta; Magnoliopsida; Vitales; Vitaceae.